AUUGAACGCUGGCGGCAGGCCUAACACAUGCAAGUCGAGCGGAUGAAGGGAGCUUGCUCCUGGAUUCAGCGGCGGACGGGUGAGUAAUGCCUAGGAAUCUGCCUGGUAGUGGGGGAUAACGUCCGGAAACGGGCGCUAAUACCGCAUACGUCCUGAGGGAGAAAGUGGGGGAUCUUCGGACCUCACGCUAUCAGAUGAGCCUAGGUCGGAUUAGCUAGUUGGUGGGGUAAAGGCCUACCGAGGCGACGAUCCGUAACUGGUCUGAGAGGAUGAUCAGUCACACUGGAACUGAGACACGGUCCAGACUCCUACGGGAGGCAGCAGUGGGGAAUAUUGGACAAUGGGCGAAAGCCUGAUCCAGCCAUGCCGCGUGUGUGAAGAAGGUCUUCGGAUUGUAAAGCACUUUAAGUUGGGAGGAAGGGCAGUAAGUUAAUACCUUGCUGUUUUGACGUUACCAACAGAAUAAGCACCGGCUAACUUGGUG
This 484-nucleotide ribosomal RNA is filed under the name uncultured bacterium. RNAcentral's name for it is "partial 16S ribosomal RNA". It matches the Rfam family "Bacterial small subunit ribosomal RNA", at positions 30 to 507 of the family's 1533-position model. The record is from RNAcentral.